UGUCAUUGCUCCUUUCAGCACAUAUGUUACAUGGUCUUUGACAUCUUCAGUACGACCUAAAUGUGUUUCACAGCUGUGAUUGCCUCAGUGCAUAUAGAAGCAACGAAGUGAUCCCAAAUACUUUUGCAGAAUAACUGAAAUGUGGGCAAGUUCAUUCGGAUUCAUGAUUAUGGCAGAUUUGAACCCAACACUGUGUAACACUACUACACAGACUGGCGUUUCGGGUAGUCGAGACAAGAUUCCUAUUAAAACCUCGUUGAGAUUUGACAAACUGUUAGCUAGGUGGGAUAAAGUAAUUGUGAUUCAGAAUGGUAGCCUCAACAUUGAGCACAAGGCAAGAGGUGAGUUUUUUAUUGUGAUCAUUUUCUACAAGCAUGCACAUUAGCGUUACAGUAGUACGAGCAUCUUUGUAGCACAUCCUUCCCUGUAUAAAAAGGGUCAUGUUGUUUACUGCUUAGCUGGUGUUAUGCAUUGUCCACUUCUAUGGUGUUGAUGCCCAGGAUCUCUACAAAACGGAACCUCUUUGCUACAGUCGUGUGGCUGCUUGUGUUCUUCUCCCCUAGCCAGAGGCAUGAAGGGGGGUUCACGGUCACUGACCAAGUCUCAUGUAUAACCCGACGUUUCGGAACUACACACGGGUUCCUCGUUCACUGAGUUGGACAGGAAAUCAUCGUCACCUAUGUAGCCAGCAUGUGACGUAAUGAACAUGCGUAAAUGGCAGGCAUAGUCCCUGGUGUCUGGUUCAUCGUAGCUGACGUCAAUUGAACGAUUAGCGAUUCUAGCAGCCGCCGGGAUGACAUGUUCUUUUCUUUGGCAACAACAGUGGCAUUGUCCCAGUCAAUCUUGUGACUAUGUUCCUGCGCAAGCUCGGCAAAUAAUAGUCGUGUGACUAUUAUUUCUUAGAUCACGUUUUUUUUUUUCGUUUCCAUGCCUGACCAGCCGAACUUUCAUCGAAUCCUAGAUUAUGCAGCCAGAGGCAGUGGCACUCGUUGUGUCCUGUUAGAGAUGACUGGUCUUUUUGUCCGUGUCUAUCCACUAUCACCUGGGCUUAUCUCCUGGCUGCUGAAGUGUGCCUGCAUUUUCCAGGUCAACUACUCGGACAUUAAUGUCUGGAUACAAAUUGGGUAGAUCUUGUAUGCCAUGCCCAACAUCAGAGUAGCGGAUAAAGAAUGUGUGGCAACAUGAAAUGGCCGUUGACGACACAGGCGAGUAGUGGAUGCCACACUUCAGUUCUAAUUGAAGUUACAUCAGCACAGAGCAUGUAUGCUACGACCAAGUUGGGUCCAUACUUUGGAUUACCAUGUACAGUGUCACUCUCUUCUGCAUUCCAGAAGAUGGAAGCCAGUGUUUCUUUGCUGUUGCCAUUUCAAUUUAGUAUAUUUUCAUGUUUUCAUGCUCUGCAAAAUACAGCCAGAGGUUGCACAGUCUUGAAAUGAAGACUACUUUUUGUGUUUUCAAGAUAAAAUUUUAGCUAUAAUAAACGGAAUUUCCAAAAAACAAA
Dermacentor andersoni is the source of this 1501-nucleotide long non-coding RNA. RefSeq lists it as uncharacterized. The record is from RefSeq and is a predicted model, not a curated record. Lineage: Eukaryota; Metazoa; Arthropoda; Arachnida; Ixodida; Ixodidae.